AAUUGUGUUAUGUGCUCAAAGCGAAUUAUUCUUUUGUCUUUUACUAAAUAAUAGUGUGUGCAUGUAAAUUAAAACGCCAUACACCUAUUUUUGGAGGGUUUUCUUUUUUAAAGCCC
Molecule: small nuclear RNA, 116 nt
Filed under: Cephalotus follicularis
Lineage: Eukaryota; Viridiplantae; Streptophyta; Magnoliopsida; Oxalidales; Cephalotaceae
Description: U5 spliceosomal RNA
Rfam family: U5 spliceosomal RNA
About the family: U5 RNA is a component of both types of known spliceosome. The precise function of this molecule is unknown, though it is known that the 5' loop is required for splice site selection and p220 binding, and that both the 3' stem-loop and the Sm site are important for Sm protein binding and cap methylation.
Source: Rfam by way of RNAcentral